RNAcentral lists this ribosomal RNA (497 nucleotides) under uncultured bacterium. RNAcentral's name for it is "partial 16S ribosomal RNA". It matches the Rfam family "Bacterial small subunit ribosomal RNA", at positions 28 to 507 of the family's 1533-position model. The record is from RNAcentral.
GAUGAACGCUGGCGGCGUGCCUAAUACAUGCAAGUCGAGCGAACAGACGAGGAGCUUGCUCCUCUGACGUUAGCGGCGGACGGGUGAGUAACACGUGGAUAACCUACCUAUAAGACUGGGAUAACUUCGGGAAACCGGAGCUAAUACCGGAUAAUAUAUUGAACCGCAUGGUUCAAUAGUGAAAGACGGUUUUGCUGUCACUUAUAGAUGGAUCCGCGCCGCAUUAGCUAGUUGGUAAGGUAACGGCUUACCAAGGCAACGAUGCGUAGCCGACCUGAGAGGGUGAUCGGCCACACUGGAACUGAGACACGGUCCAGACUCCUACGGGAGGCAGCAGUAGGGAAUCUUCCGCAAUGGGCGAAAGCUUGACGGAGCAACGCCGCGUGAGUGCUGAAGGUCUUCGGAUCGUAAAACUCUGUUAUUAGGGAAGAACAAAUGUGUAAGUAACUAUGCACGUCUUGACGGUACCUAAUCAGAAAGCCACGGCUAACUACGUG